UUCAAAGAAAGAACUGAAAAAAAUGAACAAGGGGCUGAGAGUAUACGGCGCCAUUUUGAGGAUGGUGAGGCUUUUGCCGGCGGACACGAGGCCGUACUACGCCAAGUACGCUCGCGAAAACUUCGUCAACUACAGGGAAGUCAACGAACACGACGAUGUAUCCGUCGAAGAGCUCUUUCAUCGAGCCUACAAUCACUCAAUCUGGGUCCUCAAGAAGUAUUCGGUUGACGAAUCUGCGGCGAAGAAGAUGAAAGAGAUUUGCUUUGGAUGAUGGGUCUGUUUCAAGGUGCAUGAACACCAUGUGUUCGACGUUUUGUCCCUAAGAAUAUUGAACAAAAUUUAGAGGUCUAAGGCAUCAUUGGAUGGAAGCGGAUUGCUGGUGGCAUGGAUAGCGACGGGAAGAUUAGUCUCAGACUCGGGGGCAUUCGAUCUUUGUUCCCGGGUGAAUGAAGGACAUGAUGAUGAUGAAAUGAGGGGAUAGUUUAUGAUAAAUUCUCAGACAAACCAAGAAUGGAGGCGUCGGAUACACCAUCACCAAUAGAACCGAUAGACUCGGAUACACCAAAGAAGAUGUCAAAGAAGACUCACCAAAUUUUAUUCAAUCCAAGUCUGAUGUUUUUGGUCUACAUACUCGAAUUUAAAUAGCAAAGAGGAGAAGAAAUAAACAAGGAAAAGGGUUGAAUCAAGCAGCCAUGUGUAAGCUCACAAACUUGGCAACUUAUGACACCUAGACAACGACUGCAAUAUGCAAGGAAAGAAGUUGAUUUUCCCCUUGAUGAUGUAGGCAACGGCUAGCAUGGGAUUUGGCAAGAAAUUUGCUGAUUUUCCUUGUCAUUUCCUUUCCUUUUUCGGCUGCAUAGGUGGCUCCCCACUUGCCUUAUUUGUUGUUAUCAUAUCCCUGGAUUUUUAUUGAUUGCAAUGAUGUGAAGAACUUGCCUAAUUUGGAUCCUUGAUCAGUUGAUUGAA
RNA transcript from Tarenaya hassleriana, 966 nucleotides. It is a transcript of the gene named LYR motif-containing protein At3g19508, with no coding region annotated. The transcript has 3 exons. The record is from RefSeq and is a predicted model, not a curated record. NCBI's taxonomy places the organism in Eukaryota, Viridiplantae, Streptophyta, Magnoliopsida, Brassicales, Cleomaceae.